Molecule: long non-coding RNA, 489 nt
Filed under: Citrus maxima (pomelo)
Lineage: Eukaryota; Viridiplantae; Streptophyta; Magnoliopsida; Sapindales; Rutaceae
Description: long non-coding RNA (CMAX_LNC001813)
Source: RNAcentral
AAACGCAGAACUUUUGCCGUCGUUUUGAUGCGACUUAAUGAAGCGUGCGUGGAGUGGAGCAGGUGCCAGGCUCAGUCAAAACGGCCAAAGGGCCGUUAAAUCCGUUAAGAAGCGGGGGAAGCAUUCUGGGUUUUCGAUGCAGCCUUUACAAUAAGGCUGGUUUUGUGAUUAAGAGCCAUCUUCUUCAUUCAAUUUCGUUUUAGUGAGAGGGAGAAAAAUAUCUUGAUUUGCUCUCUGCAUUUUGCUCUUCCUGGCAAAUUAAUGAAAGCUUAUUGCAACUUGCUCCAAGGCUGAACCACUUUGAUCUCUGGGUUUGUUUCUUUUGCUUAUGCUGUGAUUGCUUCAAUUGGAUCUUGAUUAUUAGACUUAGGUUCUUGGGGUGUUUUUUUUUUUUUUUGGGGCUGUAAUCUUGAUUCAAACCAUUGGUCAAGAAUUUUCCGGGUAAAGAAAUGAUUGCUGGUAUUUGCACUUUUUGUUACUAAUAAAGCA